GACGUAGGGCGCGAGCGUUGUCCGGAUUUAUUGGGCGGAAAGAGUUCGUAGGCGGCUUGUUGCGUCGACCGUGAAAACCCGGGGCUCAACUUCGGGCUUGCGGUCGAUACGGGCGGGCUAGAGUUCGGUAGGGGAGACUGGAAUUCCUGGUGUAGCGGUGAAAUGCGCAGAUAUCAGGAGGAACACCGGUGGCGAAGGCGGGUCUCUGGGCCGAUACUGACACUGAGGAGCGAAAGCGUGGGGAGCAAACAGG
This 253-nucleotide ribosomal RNA is filed under the name uncultured bacterium. RNAcentral's name for it is "partial 16S ribosomal RNA". It matches the Rfam family "Bacterial small subunit ribosomal RNA", at positions 524 to 776 of the family's 1533-position model. The record is from RNAcentral.